AUACGGAGGGUGCAAGCGUUACUCGGAAUCACUGGGCGUAAAGCGCGCGCAGGCGGAUUGGCAAGUUGGAUGUGAAAGCCUGCGGCUCAACCGCAGAACUGCAUCCAAAACUGUCAGUCUAGAGUCUGGGAGAGGUAGCUGGAAUUAGUGGUGUAGGGGUAAAAUCCGUAGAGAUCACUAGGAAUACCGAAAGCGAAGGCGAGCUACUGGAACAGUACUGACGCUGAGGCGCGAAAGCGUGGGGAGCAAACAGGAUUAGAAACCCUUGUAGUCC
RNAcentral lists this ribosomal RNA (274 nucleotides) under uncultured bacterium. RNAcentral describes it as "partial 16S ribosomal RNA". It matches the Rfam family "Bacterial small subunit ribosomal RNA", at positions 523 to 796 of the family's 1533-position model. The record is from RNAcentral.